Molecule: ribosomal RNA, 540 nt
Filed under: Agathobacter rectalis
Lineage: Bacteria; Bacillati; Bacillota; Clostridia; Lachnospirales; Lachnospiraceae
Description: partial 23S ribosomal RNA
Rfam family: Bacterial large subunit ribosomal RNA
Source: RNAcentral
GCUCAGAAGCAGCCAUACAUUCAAAGAGUGCGUAACAGCUCACUAGUCGAGAGUUCCUGCGCCGAAAAUGUCCGGGGCUGAAACACGACACCGAAGCCGUGGACUCGCAAUGCGAGUGGUAGAGGAGCAUUCUUAAAACCGACGAAGCUGUACCGGAAGGAGCAGUGGAGGGAUAAGAAGAGAGAAUGCCGGAAUGAGUAGCGAGAGAAAGGUGGGAAUCCUUUCGGCCGAAUAUCUAAGGUUUCCAGAGUAAAGCUGAUCUGCUCUGGGUAAGUCGGGACCUAAGCACAGGUCGCAAGACGUAAGCGAUGGAUAACAGGUUUAGAUUCCUGUACCACGCAUUAUCAGAACUGUAGGGACGCAUGUGGAAAGCACGGGCCGGGAAUGGAAAGACCGGUACAAGCGGGGUAGGUGUACAAUAGGCAAAUCCGUUGUAUGAUCCGAAGACGUGAUGUGGAGCGAAAUAAAGUAGUGAAGCGUGUGAGCCAUGUGCCGAGAAAAGCUGCUAUUGUGUAAUGCGUGCCCGUACCGUAAACCGAC